Molecule: long non-coding RNA, 1944 nt
Organism: Oncorhynchus kisutch (coho salmon)
Lineage: Eukaryota; Metazoa; Chordata; Actinopteri; Salmoniformes; Salmonidae
Source: Ensembl
AUGAAGAUGGACCGCGACUUUGGCUUUUCUCAAGACAACAAACAUCUAUCAAAUAAUUUAUGUGGAGAAGAACAUGAAGUCCUAUCAAUUAUUAAAUCAUCAGAUAAGAGAGAGAAAAAAAAAACGGUAGAGAGAAAAAAAAAGAUUUUUUUGACCAUGACAAUAUCUAAGCGAUGCAAAGCUACCACACUUUGUCAAACAGCACUUCAGAGUAUGAGAAUAGAAAAAAUGGUGACCAGUGAUAGAUACCGAGAAAAGUCUCAAGGGGCACCCUAUUCCCUACAUAGUGACAUUUGGAAUUAGUCCUAAAAAAAAUGGUUGUGACGGAAGCCCCCGAAGUGAGAGUUUCUAGUUCCUAUACCCUGACCCAUGUGUGAUUUAUAUUGUGCUUAUAUUUCAACAUUUACGGUAACACUUUACAAUACAGUUGAAUAACUACCCAUUAUAAUCAAUUAAAAUAUUUACUAACAUUUGUUAACAGUUUGUUGUAGCCUACAUACCAAAUUGUUUAACAAACUGUUAUAUAGUCAAUGUUAAUAACGCGACACUACCCAGGUUUUGGUUAACGUGAAAAGGAUUACUAUUCUAUAAUCAAAUCAAUAUACAGUAACUUUACCAUUUGACCCGACAACUAGGCAUUCAUAUUAUAGCAAUACAUUGUCUGACUGUACCGCAAAGCACUCAACUUUGUCCACUCACUAACAGGAUGAUUUGUCUUCAAAAAAAAAAAAGUUUGGGUUGUUCAAUGUAUGAUAAUAUUCACAAAUUACUUGCCAAUGUGUUAAAAUUCAGUACAAUCACGUACCAGUUCAAGCAAUAACAUCACAAAGUGGGAAACACAUCAGCAGGUGAUUUAGCCUUAAUGACACACUGGUAUGUAUAUUAUAAGAAAAGCAAACUGAGCGUUCCUAACUGCAGUAAUCCCUAGUCCCUAAACCAUGGCCUAAUAGCAUCUGUGUAGGCAGUUUCUAGAUAUAUGGCACUGAGUGUUGUAUAUUGGGAUAGGAAAACUCACUGCAAAAAGCACAUUCCCCAUCUUAUUCAACAUCAAAUAAUGUUUAUUAGUGGUACCUUGGUAGUUCUGGGAAGUGCCACCAACCCAUGCUUCAAAAAAACAAAACAGAUUUGCAAAAUAAAAUAAAAAGUUUACAUUGCCUCCAAUAUUUCUGCUUAUAAAACAGACAAAAAAACUAAAAAAAAUCGCUACCAUUCAACAACAAACACUUCAAAACUUCAAGUGCUGCUAGAACUUUCAAGCUAAAAAAAAAAACCAACAAACUAGUGCCAUCUUGGGUGAUUUGCAAGUAAAAAAAUAAAAUAACCAAAACUGAAAAAUGCAUUUUGUGGCUUGUUAAUCCCAAGUCUGUUGAGAAAAGGACACCGUAGGCAGUGCUUGGCAUCUUCCACACAGAGCUGAAUCUCAAACACGAAGGACCCUGAGUUGACGACCCUUGUUCAGCGCCUUCUGGGUCGUAUUCAUAAAGCGCCGUAGAGUAGGUGUGCCGAUUUAGGAUCAGCUUUAGAGUUUGUAUCAUAUAAUGAAUAAGAUUACAUGAACAGGUGGAACCUGAUCCUAGACGCUUUGUGAAUAUGGGACCAGGUACGCAUAUUUUUGGGGGAUCUUUUCUUUGGGGCGGAGAACAGCAUUGCGGGGGGGGGGCUGGAUGUAAAUGAUUUGCGCUGUCCCAUCAUCUCUGCAGUACAACUAACAGAAAGUAGGCUGGUCCAUUAUCAACCCAAUAAAGACACUUCUGUUCUGAGUAGUAAACUUUAUGCCGAAACAUGGAAUGCUUGUGUAAACCAACCCUUUUGGUGUGGGGGGAAAGGGGGGAAAGGGGUAGGUUCAACAGUGUUAACACAGAUUCUGUGUGACUGGUUAAAAUGAAAGGAAUUUUCUAUUUUUUUUUAUGUUGGAUUUCAACUAUCUUAUCACCAACAAAUAUG